Molecule: long non-coding RNA, 142 nt
Organism: Sander lucioperca (pikeperch)
Lineage: Eukaryota; Metazoa; Chordata; Actinopteri; Perciformes; Percidae
Exons: 3
Source: RefSeq, a predicted model, not a curated record
AAAGUUUUAAAUGAAACUUAGGUUACAUUUACAUUGCUACGUUUCGUUUUUUAAGCAGAGUUUAGAGCCAAACGCGAUCUCCGUGCACACAAGUGUUUUUAUCUCCAGUAGAAGAAGUAAUCUCUGUUUAAACUAACACGCC